Molecule: ribosomal RNA, 468 nt
Filed under: uncultured bacterium
Lineage: Bacteria
Description: partial 16S ribosomal RNA
Rfam family: Bacterial small subunit ribosomal RNA
Source: RNAcentral
GACGAACGCUGGCAGCGUGCUUAACACAUGCAAGUCGAACGGAAAGGCCCUGCUUUUGUGGGGUGCUCGAGUGGCGAACGGGUGAGUAACACGUGAGUAACCUGCCCUUGACUUUGGGAUAACUUCAGGAAACUGGGGCUAAUACCGGAUAGGAGCUCCUGCUGCAUGGUGGGGGUUGGAAAGUUUCGGCGGUUGGGGAUGGACUCGCGGCUUAUCAGCUUGUUGGUGGGGUAGUGGCUUACCAAGGCUUAGACGGGUAGCCGGCCUGAGAGGGUGACCGGCCACAUUGGGACUGAGAUACGGCCCAGACUCCUACGGGAGGCAGCAGUGGGGAAUAUUGCACAAUGGGCGGAAGCCUGAUGCAGCAACGCCGCGUGCGGGAUGACGGCCUUCGGGUUGUAAACCGCUUUCGCCUGUGACGAAGCGUGAGUGACGGUAAUGGGUAAAGAAGCACCGGCUAACUACGUG